AAUGGUCCUGUGGUCAGGUACGAAAAAAAUAUUGUGAACAGGGGUGAUGACAAAAAUGGGUUGGUUCCUAUGGAUGGAUUCUACCUGACCCGGUGCCACUACAUAAUUAUUCACUGUACAUGCACAUGUAUUGUCCAGAUGAAGGGGACAGUCACCUUGCUGGCAAAAAACUUGGGAUGGAGGACCUAUACUUACAAACACGCUAGGAACUCGUCUGGAAGAAGCUCAUUUCCAGAUGUCCUGGCGAUGGAGGCAGUUACGACACACCAUUCACUGAUCAGCUGCCUCCCUAUUCGGUCUGCUAAUAAGCAGAUGGAGCUGUGUGGACCUCACAAAAGCGGAGGUUCCACCAAUCUGAUGCCCGGGGAAGCCAAGCAUUACUGCAGCCCAGACAAAGAGACUGGUCCAACUUGGCCUGGAGCACAGCACUCUGGUGACACUGAGGUCCAAGAGUGGUAUUACACACAGGCUUUCAUGGAAGCUCUGAAGGGGAAGGGAGUGAAAAGCAAGGCCCUUUGUAUCAAGCUAGCAAAGCUAGUUCAUAGUUUACCUUCAAAGUCCAUCAAAACAGCAGCCAACCCUGGAAGAAGUCUAUGAGCCAGCCAAUUGUCAGCGCUGUCUGUAGCCCCAGCGUUGCCUAUCUCUUCUCUUCAGGCUACUAACGGCUCUUGAUCUUCAACGCUAAUUCUGCACUCUACGUACGCAAUUGGGGCGUGGUCUACAGGCUUACGUCUUAAUUUUUUUUUGGGGGGGUGUGAAAGCUCUCCAUCUCGGGGCUAAGAAAAAAUUACAUUGUACAAAAGAAGGAAGUAGUUCAGUGAUAGUAAUUAUGUAGCAGUCAAAAAUAAAAACAAUAAGUAGUUCAUAGAGGAAUUAUGUAUUCAGGGGGGGGACUCGCCCCUCCUGAGAUACAAGGUUGAUAUUGUCCAUGUAGACAGGUCUGUGCAACGAUGAGCGGCUUCCUCAAAUGCACAUUAUUGCAGAGCGGAUUGAUGCAAAGGAUAGCCUGCAUCUAAGCCAUCCCAUUACAGCUGGGUAGGGAUUUUGUCUUUUCAAGGAUAAUAAAUCAGCGAGCCUCUUGUAGAAGGUUGCUGCUUCUUUGCCCAUUCCUCCCCAGGUUGAGAGGACUAAGGGUGUGAAGACUCCCCGCUCGAUUUCUUACUUACGAUUUCUUACUUACGUCUUAAUUUAUACUCUAGCGUACGCGUACGCUAGAGCCAGAUAUAAAAAGUGUUCGAUCUGACUAUCUACGUACAGGACUUGGUCUAUAUUUAGCAUGCUGCUAUAAUUAGGUAAGGUGAACAAAGUUACGAGCUGACUUUGUCCAUAUACGGUCUAGAUUUUUCUCUAGAGGGUGUGUCAUGACAAAAAAAUUCUCAUAAAUGGAUAACAAAGGGAUUUUACAACAAAAGCUCUUCGUAAUGUUGAAGAGCUGUGUGUAGUGCACCUGCAAACAAACGAUCAAGUCCAUAGCUCUACUGGUUUCCUAGACGGAACUUCUUUUAGCUAGAUAAUGAAAAUCAAGUGUAAAAUCUGUUCUCAUCAUCCUUUCCUCUCCAUUUUUGGAGUGCACACUAGUAGAGUAUUGCUUCAUAAUCCUGUGAAGGAUGGUAGUUCUUUCAUAGUUAGCUUUUCCCUAGCAAGUGUGUGUGUGGGCGUACGUGGGCGUAGGUGUUCCAGCACCCUUAACUGCACCCAGUUGCUCACUCUCUAGCUUGUCUUUCCCUUAGCAGGUGGUCAAACUCCCUGUUUUAAGGCAGAGUAUAGCUAGCUAUAGCUAGCUAGCUGCAGUACUCCUCGAACUCAACAAAGCCAUGCUGCAGCUUCAAUUAAUUGUUCUGGUAGUAAUAGUUAGCUCUAUAUAAGGCACAUCAAGACAGUAAAACUGGUAAGCGAAGACUAGCAGCUAAACUGGACUAGCCAGUACUUAUAGAAUGUAAAGCAGUGGUCGGAAAGGCUAAGUGGUGGUCGGAAAAUAUCUAGUGGUGGUCGCAGCUUACCUAAACGACCACUGUAGGCAGAACCCUGCAAAUUGGGUAACUGACCCCCCCCCCCGACGCGAAGUUGGUGCAUGCCAAACUAGGGGGGUCCGGGGGCGCAUGACAAUUUUGGAUAUUUGGGUGCUUAGAUCACUUCUGGUGCAAUACUGCUAAUUUUUUUAAAAUGAUUGUGCAGGCUGUGUUGGAGCUAUGCACACGCUGUAGGUACCAGCACAUGCGCAUUGAGCUGCUCUUUCACAUGGUAUUUUCAUUGUGCUGCCUCGAGGUACGCUUCAUACAGUAUUGUCGAAAGAAAAGUGACCAAUUAAUAAUUGCUACCAGAUCUUUGUAGGAUAAUCUUAGCGAGGCUCUAGCAGCUAGACAGUGAGGAUAUCGAUGCCUAUGGCCUUGUUGAGUCAGGGGAGUGACUGCCAGAUAGGAAGCUACUUCUCAGAGUUCAAGUUAGAAAAUAAAGAGCCAGAGGAAGAAGGUCAUGAAGCUCUUGAGACGACCAAGUUCCUGGACCUGGUGAAGAAAACAUUU
Halichondria panicea is the source of this 2522-nucleotide long non-coding RNA. RefSeq lists it as uncharacterized. Lineage: Eukaryota; Metazoa; Porifera; Demospongiae; Suberitida; Halichondriidae. The record is from RefSeq and is a predicted model, not a curated record. The transcript is spliced from 3 exons.